AUGGGGGGAUGCCAUGACCCCCUGGGAAUUGGUGGCGGAGGAGAAGGCGUCGGGGAUGACCGUGGGGACUCUUGCGUCGUCGGUGAGGCCGCCAUCGGCUGCCGUGCCCAUGGGACGCACCGGCUGUGGAGUCGAGACGCCCGCGAGGACUUGGUGCGAGCAAUCUGUCGAACAGGUGACGGGCGCCCUCGCGAUGCAUGCGGGGGACGCAUCGGUGAUGAGCUCGAGGACCUCCUGGGCUUUGCUGGUGGAAGAGGGGGCGGAGAAGACGCCGGGGACGACCGCGGGAACAAGGGUAUUGUGGAUGAGGCCGCCAUCGGAGGCCAUGACCGCGGAGCGCGCCGGCUGAGGGGUCGAAGCUCCCGUGAUGAGCUUGGAGAACAACGCGUCGAACAGCCUGGCACUGGCGUCGUGGCGCGCCUGGGCCUUCGCCUCGAACUCGUCAAGGGGAAUCAAGGUCUGAUACAAGGGAAUUUGGAAGGGAGGUAG
RNAcentral lists this ribosomal RNA (489 nucleotides) under Triticum aestivum (bread wheat). RNAcentral's name for it is "partial small subunit ribosomal RNA". Lineage: Eukaryota; Viridiplantae; Streptophyta; Magnoliopsida; Poales; Poaceae. The record is from RNAcentral.